GGCCAGACUCCUACGGGAGGCAGCAGUGGGGAAUAUUGCACAAUGGGGGAAACCCUGAUGCAGCGACGCCGCGUGAGUGAAGAAGUAUCUCGGUACGUAAAGCUCUAUCAGCAGGGAAGAAAAUGACGGUACCUGAGUAAGAAGCCCCGGCUAACUACGUGCCAGCAGCCGCGGUAAUACGUAGGGGGCAAGCGUUAUCCGGAUUUACUGGGUGUAAAGGGAGCGUAGACGGCAGUGCAAGUCUGAAGUGAAAGCCCCGGGCUUAACCCGGGAAUUGCUUUGGAAACUGUACGGCUGGAGUGCUGGAGAGGUAAGCGGAAUUCCUAGUGUAGCGGUGAAAUGCGUAGAUAUUAGGAGGAACACCAGUGGCGAAGGCGGCUUACUGGACAGUAACUGACGUUGAGGCUCGAAAGCGUGGGGAGCAAACAGGAUUAGAUACCCUUGUAU
This 447-nucleotide ribosomal RNA is filed under the name uncultured bacterium. RNAcentral's name for it is "bacterial SSU rRNA". It matches the Rfam family "Bacterial small subunit ribosomal RNA", at positions 329 to 793 of the family's 1533-position model. The record is from RNAcentral.